CACGGCGCACGGGUGCGUAACACGUGGGUAAUCUGCCCUCUGAUGGGGAAUAACCCCCCGAAAGGCGAGCUAAUUCCGCAUAACAUUCCUUGGACUCCGGUCCGGGGAUUCAAAGGCGUAAGUCGUCGGAGGUGGAGCCCGCGCUCGAUUAGCUAGUUGGUGAGGUAAUGGCUCACCAAGGCUAUGAUCGUUAGCUGGUCUGAGAGGAUGGCCAGCCACACUGGAACUGAAACACGGUCCAGACUCCUACGGGAGGCAGCAGUGGGGAAUCUUGCACAAUGGGCGAAAGCCUGAUGCAGCGACGCCGCGUGGGGGAUGAAGCUUCUCGGAGUGUAAACCCCUUUCGACCGGGACGAAUACCUCGCAAGAGGGGUGACGGUACCGGUAUAAGAAGCCCCGGCUAACUACGUGCCAGCAGCCGCGGUAAGACGUAGGGGGCCAGCGUUGCUCGGAAUUACUGGGUGUAAAGGGUUCGUAGGCGGUGUGGCAAGUCGGGAGUGAAAUCUCUGGGCUCAACCCAGGGGCUGCUUCCGA
This 534-nucleotide ribosomal RNA is filed under the name uncultured bacterium. RNAcentral describes it as "bacterial SSU rRNA". It matches the Rfam family "Bacterial small subunit ribosomal RNA", at positions 94 to 630 of the family's 1533-position model. The record is from RNAcentral.